RNAcentral lists this ribosomal RNA (724 nucleotides) under Fusarium udum. RNAcentral describes it as "eukaryotic LSU rRNA". The stretch from base 169 to 322 matches the Rfam family "5.8S ribosomal RNA". Lineage: Eukaryota; Fungi; Ascomycota; Sordariomycetes; Hypocreales; Nectriaceae. The record is from RNAcentral.
GGUCUCUGCAGUAUGACGCGGGCUGGAUCUCUCGGGGUUACAGCCUUGCUGAAUUAUUCACCCUUGUCUUUUGCGUACUUCUUGUUUCCUUGGUGGGUUCGCCCACCACUAGGACAAACAUAAACCUUUUGUAAUUGCAAUCAGCGUCAGUAACAAAUUAAUAAUUACAACUUUCAACAACGGAUCUCUUGGUUCUGGCAUCGAUGAAGAACGCAGCGAAAUGCGAUAAGUAGUGUGAAUUGCAGAAUUCAGUGAAUCAUCGAAUCUUUGAACGCACAUUGCGCCCUUUGGUAUUCCAAAGGGCAUGCCUGUUCGAGCGUCAUUUGUACCCUCAAGCUUUGCUUGGUGUUGGGCGUCUUGUCUCUAGCUUUGCUGGAGACUCGCCUUAAAGUAAUUGGCAGCCGGCCUACUGGUUUCGGAGCGCAGCACAAGUCGCACUCUCUAUCAGCAAAGGUCUAGCAUCCAUUAAGCCUUUUUUCAACUUUUGACCUCGGAUCAGGUAGGGAUACCCGCUGAACUUAAGCAUAUCAAUAAGCGGAGGAAAGCGCGUCCCAUAUUAAUAAUGCGGACGAAACUCUCCCCGGGGUUAAAACCUUGCUGAAAUAUUCCCCUUGUCUUUUGCGUACUUCUUGUUUCCUGGUGGGUUCCCCACCACUAGGACAACCUUAAACUUUUGUUAUGCAUUACGUUAGUAACAAUUAAUAAUUUCACUUUCAACACCGGA